This 29-nucleotide small RNA is filed under the name Bombyx mori (domestic silkworm). RNAcentral's name for it is "ovarian small RNA-31084". Lineage: Eukaryota; Metazoa; Arthropoda; Insecta; Lepidoptera; Bombycidae. The record is from RNAcentral.
UGAAUAUACACCACCGAUGGAAUGUGCAC